Notechis scutatus (mainland tiger snake) is the source of this 1198-nucleotide non-coding RNA. The record is from RefSeq and is a predicted model, not a curated record. NCBI's taxonomy places the organism in Eukaryota, Metazoa, Chordata, Lepidosauria, Squamata, Elapidae.
CCCAUCAGUAUAUCUGAUGAUGGGUAUGGCCCAGUUUGUAGAACUUGCCCAAAGUCUUAAAACAACUCACCUCCACUGACUGAGAGCCAAGCUGUUCCCUCAGAAACAGAGACCAAUGGGCAAGGAAAAAAGCUAUCUAUGCAGAAGCAAAUGGGCUGCUUCAGUGAUUUAAAUGCUUCUGUCUCUGGGACAACCUAAUUCAAUUGAACUCUUUAAGUUUUCCUUUGUUGGUGUGCUUUGUUCCAGGCCAGAUAUUUGCAUUUCCUUAAGAGAGAGGAGGAGAGCUGAUUGGGCCACUGGUAGCCUAACUUGCACCAUUGGGAGAAAGGCUUUGCCAUCUCCAGUUUGAGAAUCUGAAUGAUAGUGUAGCACUUCCCAAUUCCACUACUUCUGAAUCCUUGAAGAAGGGAGAAUCAUUGCCUGCAGGGAGAAGAGCACUGGAAUUAAUGGUAUCUUUCAGGAGAUCUCUCAUGAGUAUGGAUCCUUUAUUGUCAGUUGUAUAUAUCCAUAGCAAAUUGAAAGAAUGUUUAUUUCAGCGCGGCUAAGAAAAAUGUGCCGUACAAGAAUAUGCUAUCCGUUAAUUGACAUGUUACAGCAUGUGAUAGACAAAAGACAUGGUCUCUAGGAUGAUUUAAUCUCACAGUUUCAAACUUAAAUCUUUUGUCUUUCCUGUUUAUUACAGCAUAAACUUAUUAACAGUUCUCCAAAUAACAUGGUCAAUAAAAAGGAGAGCAAGCCCAAGGGCUUUCUUCUUUUCUUUCUUUUCUUUUUUGGCACCUCAAAACGCAAAUCUCUCACAAAGCAAAAACAAACAGACAAACUUAGAGCUGCCAAUGAGCAGUAGCAUCAGAAAGUUAUUUGCAGAUGUCUGGAAGCAAGUUUCUCUUACUGGCCAUUUAAAUAUGGGAACAAACAAGUAACAGCUUAUAUCUUUGAAAACUUUCACAUGUCUUCAAAAGCAAGAAGAAACAUGACAAGCAGGAAGAAACUGUAGUGAUUGAAGGUCCCUUAAUUACAAUGAAGAGUUUUGUGGGGACUCUCCAAUCUAUGGGAUAGAUGCUAAGCUUUAUAUUACAUUUUGAUACAUUCAGAUUGUUGGGGUUUGCAAAUUGCCUUAACUGGGUAGUAACAUGGAGUCAAAGAAAGAAAGGAUUUAGAACUUAGACUUAGACUUAAACUAACUUUAUUAUCACUUUAA